UACGGAGGUGGCUAGCGUUGAUCGGAAUUACUGGGCGUAAAGCGCACGUAGGCGGACGAGAAAGUCAGAGGUGAAAUCUCAGGGCUCAACCCUGGAACUGCCUUUGAAACUCCUUGUCUUGAGGUCGAGAGAGGUGAGUGGAAUUCCGAGUGUAGAGGUGAAAUUCGUAGAUAUUCGGAGGAACACCAGUGGCGAAGGCGGCUCACUGGCUCGAUACUGACGCUGAGGUGCGAAAGCGUGGGGAGCAAACAGG
This 253-nucleotide ribosomal RNA is filed under the name uncultured bacterium. RNAcentral describes it as "partial 16S ribosomal RNA". It matches the Rfam family "Bacterial small subunit ribosomal RNA", at positions 524 to 776 of the family's 1533-position model. The record is from RNAcentral.